This 630-nucleotide ribosomal RNA is filed under the name Chrysotila carterae. Its description in RNAcentral is "partial Bacterial large subunit ribosomal RNA". It matches the Rfam family "Bacterial large subunit ribosomal RNA", at positions 12 to 717 of the family's 2925-position model. Lineage: Eukaryota; Haptophyta; Isochrysidales; Isochrysidaceae. The record is from RNAcentral.
UAAGGGCAUUCGGUGGAUGCCUUGGCGACAAGAGGCGAUGAAAGACGUGAUACGCUGCGAUAAGCCAUGGGGAGCUGCGAAUAAGCUUUGAUCCGUGGAUUUCUGAAUGGGGCAACCCACUCCGUAUGGAGUACCCUUUAAUGGGAGCAAACCCGGGGAACUGAAACAUCUAAGUACCCGAAGGAAAGGACAUCAAUUGAGACUUCCCUAGUAGCGGCGAGCGAACGGGAACCAGGCCAGUGUCUCUUCUUGAGUCAGCGGAACGAUCUGGAAAGUUCGGCCAUAGCGGGUGAUAGCCCCGUACGUUAAAGCGAUUGAAGAGACCUUGAGUAGGGCGGGACACGUGAAAUCCUGUCUGAACAUGGGGGGACCACCCUCCAAGCCUAAGUACUCCUUGCCGACCGAUAGUGAACCAGUACCGUGAGGGAAAGGUGAAAAGCACCCCGACGAGGGGAGUGAAACAGAUCCUGAAACCGGACGCCUACAAGCAGUCGGAGCCGCCUUGCGCGGUGACGGCGUACCUUUUGUAUAAUGGGUCAGCGACUUACAUUCAGUGGCGAGGUUAACCGAAUAGGGGAGCCGUAGAGAAAUCGAGUCCGAACAGGGCGACAGUCGCUGGGUGUAGACCCG